Molecule: long non-coding RNA, 836 nt
Filed under: Anas platyrhynchos platyrhynchos (common mallard)
Lineage: Eukaryota; Metazoa; Chordata; Aves; Anseriformes; Anatidae
Description: lncRNA (ENSAPLG00000025758.1)
Source: RNAcentral
UCUGUGGAGCACCCUAGGGUGUCCCAGAGCACCCCACUGGGACUGUGGAGCACCCUAAAGCCUCCCUGGAGCACCCAGCUGGGACCCAGGAGCACCCCAGGGUGUCCCCAGAGCCCCCCAGAGCAUCCCCAGAGCCCCCCAAAGCAUCCCAGGAGCCCCCCCGAGCAUCCCCCGGCCCCCCCGCCCCCCCGGUUCUGCCCCCCCCCCCCGUCCCCUCUCAGAGCUGCAGUACAACGUGUCCCUGGAGGAGCGGGGUGGGGGGGCCCGCGCCGCCUUCGACUCGGGCGCCCGGCGGCUGCUGCAGCGGCGCACGGAGCUGGAGCUGGGCAGGCAGAGCUGCCUCCGCUUCCCCUUCCACGUCCUGGUGAGCACAGCAUCCCCCCCCCCCCUCCCUUAUCCUCCCCCCCCCCCCCCCCCCCCCCCCGGGGGGGGCCCUCCGCGCCCCCCCCCCUUGCUCCUAGCCCCCUGUCCCCUUGCAGAUCCCCUUCUUCAAGGACUGCGGCGAGGACGAUGAGUGCGUCGCCGACCUGGUGCUGCGCGCCACCAUGGACAUCGCCGGGGAUGGGCAGAGCCCCCACGUCCUGCGCAAGGGCAGGAGGAAGGCGGUGCUGGACGCGGUGCUGGAGAACAAGGGCGAGAACGCCUACAACGCCAGCCUGCUCCUGAGCUUCUCCAGCAACCUGCUCUUCUCCAGCCUCGUGCUCCAGGUGAGGCCCCCCCCCCCCCAGCACCCCCCCCCGGGUAAAAAUCUGGGGGUGCUCAGCCCCCUUGGGGACCACCCUCUGCCUCCCAAGCCCCCCCCGGGGUGGCCGCGGGGACCCACUUCACCCUGUUUG